Molecule: ribosomal RNA, 253 nt
Filed under: uncultured bacterium
Lineage: Bacteria
Description: partial 16S ribosomal RNA
Rfam family: Bacterial small subunit ribosomal RNA
Source: RNAcentral
UACGUAGGGGGCGAGCGUUGUCCGGAAUCAUUGGGCGUAAAGCGCGUGUAGGCGGCUCGAUAAGUCUGCUGUGAAAGUCCAGGGCUCAACCCUGGAAAGCCGGUGGAUACUGCCGGGCUAGAGUCCGGAAGAGGCGAGUGGAAUUCCUGGUGUAGCGGUGGAAUGCGCAGAUAUCAGGAGGAACACCCGUGGCGAAGGCGGCUCUCUGGGACGGUACUGACGCUGAUGCGCGACAGCGUGGGGAGCAAACAGG